CGGCAGGCCUAACACAUGCAAGUCGAGCGGCAGCGGGAAAGUAGCUUGCUACUUUUGCCGGCGAGCGGCGGACGGGUGAGUAAUGCCUGGGAAAUUGCCCAGUCGAGGGGGAUAACAGUUGGAAACGACUGCUAAUACCGCAUACGCCCUACGGGGGAAAGCAGGGGACCUUCGGGCCUUGCGCGAUUGGAUAUGCCCAGGUGGGAUUAGCUAGUUGGUGAGGUAAUGGCUCACCAAGGCGACGAUCCCUAGCUGGUCUGAGAGGAUGAUCAGCCACACUGGAACUGAGACACGGUCCAGACUCCUACGGGAGGCAGCAGUGGGGAAUAUUGCACAAUGGGGGAAACCCUGAUGCAGCCAUGCCGCGUGUGUGAAGAAGGCCUUCGGGUUGUAAAGCACUUUCAGCGAGGAGGAAAGGUCAGUAGCUAAUAUCUGCUGNGCUGUGACGUUACUCG
RNAcentral lists this ribosomal RNA (455 nucleotides) under Aeromonas caviae. RNAcentral describes it as "bacterial SSU rRNA". It matches the Rfam family "Bacterial small subunit ribosomal RNA", at positions 40 to 481 of the family's 1533-position model. The record is from RNAcentral. Lineage: Bacteria; Pseudomonadati; Pseudomonadota; Gammaproteobacteria; Aeromonadales; Aeromonadaceae.